Molecule: long non-coding RNA, 1174 nt
Organism: Wyeomyia smithii (pitcher-plant mosquito)
Lineage: Eukaryota; Metazoa; Arthropoda; Insecta; Diptera; Culicidae
Exons: 6
Source: RefSeq, a predicted model, not a curated record
UUCUGUUACUCCAGUUUAUAUAUUAUUGCCGUAUUUUUCGCGAGAGUUUAUUCGAAACUAUUUAAUAAACGUAAGUGCAACGGGUGAAGAAUUCAUGAAGGAAGGAUGGAUGAACCGCGGGAUCAACACGGCGAGGCGACGCCGAUGGUUUCGAGGAGCCGCUGGAAAAUUGCCUGGAGUGUUAAGCAGGCGGAACGCCUGAAUGAGUUAUUAAUCAACCAUCAACAAAUCACACAGCAAUUGCUUAAAUGUCAAAUCAUUUAAUUGAAUGGUUUAUAUCAGCCGGAGUGCGGGCGAAUAAAAUUUCCACCGAAUUAGAACAUGCACGAGAGGCCCUAAGAAAUGGAAAACAUCUUACUAACCGAGAAAUCAGGAUUCAGAUUGAACCACGCGAUAACGUGGAUGCUCGCAUUUCCCCUGAUAAAAUGGAUAGAGGUUACGAUACAUUUUCAUGUUGAGAAGUUUGCCAACGCCGAACCGCACGUUGUUUGAUGCCGAUAUGAAAUGAAGGGAUCAAUAUCAAAAGCCACCUGUGCCGGUUCUUGCACGUCUGAUAGUGACGUCAGGGAGUACAAUGAUGAAGCCAGCCAGAUCAAACAGUAUUUGGAAUUGCUGUUUGAAAUUCAAGAGGACAAGUACAAUUACGAUAACUAUGUGAAAUUUCUGGUUCAUGCUUAUUAAAUGUCCGGCCUGGAUAAAACUCGGCUAAAUUGCGGCAAUCGGACUCAAUCUGGGAUACGUUAUUCAGCGUACGAGUUGCAUACCAACAAGGGUCGUGCCAUUUAGAACACCUUUUGCGAGGAUUAUUUGAUGAAAACUAAAAAAUUUUAAUGCGUUCAAAAAGAUUGGUGCAAAUGGUUCAGCAGGUGGUCGAAAUUCUUUCGAAGAAUAUGGAGAAUUCGUACAAUGAAUACAAACUGCUUGGCGAAAAGCACGAAGAUGUCGCGAGUGUCGUUCCGUGACUUAAGGUUAUAAAGGAAGUUGCGACGGUGAAAUCUCCGGCUCCGGAACUGGCUGUGAAGGUAUGGCUGGAACAUUUAACGUACCUGCGUAGACAUGCUUCCUUGCCUUAUGAGUAGGAAAAAAAAACAGCCCAAUACAGUGAAGUGUUUAUAUUUCAUUUAAAUUAUAUCGCUGACUCGUUAAUAAAUAAUGGUAUAAUUAUUAUUUUUAA